RNAcentral lists this long non-coding RNA (1054 nucleotides) under Pogona vitticeps (central bearded dragon). RNAcentral's name for it is "lncRNA (ENSPVIG00000022758.1)". Lineage: Eukaryota; Metazoa; Chordata; Lepidosauria; Squamata; Agamidae. The record is from RNAcentral.
AUGAAGUUACACAACACAUUCUUUCUUUACCUUGGGCAUAUGUUGGUAUCAACUAUUAUUUGGUCACCCACUAUCCUCAUAUACACCGCGCACAAUAUAGGCAGACAAAAAGAACGACUUGGCUUUCUACCCAAACCAGGAUCUACUGCAAAAACAAAACAAACAAAAGGUACAAUACUCCCUGUAUUGGAACUCUUCCACCCCCCAAAAUGGUCAAGUACUGUAACCUCGCUGGGAGCGGGGCCCUGCCAGAAUUGCCUACGGAACUGUAAGAUGUACUAUAAGAUGCACCGUACACUCAUGAUGCGAUCAUGGCCUUCAGCAGAAGUGUGGAAGACACAGUCCUGAGCUUGGAACCUUUUGAAUGACGGCAAAACUCCCUCCUCCAGUAGUAUAUACAAGAUGUGAAGAUUAAGACAUGAAUAACAGUUGGCUGUAUAUGUAAGUAAUAAUUUGCUUUACCCCACUCACAAGGACGGCUGUUCAGUGUGGCAUGGGUUGAGAAAUGUUUACACACCUUAUUGAAAAUGCUAAAUAGAAUUAUACAGACAAUGAAGCAUUCCAAUAACUAUAUUGCCAUAUACCUGUGUGCCACUGCCAGCUGGUCAGCUCUCAAGCCUACAAGAGCAGAGCAAAGUGAUCCCUUUGGGAUCUGUUGAUGCAUUGUUGCUAAAUAUUUGCAAAGCAGAGACAGGAAAUAUAUUGUUCAAGGUUAAUUAGUUGCUUUUAUAGUUCUAGAAGGGAAGUAAGUAAUUACUUACUAUUGAACUUGCAGUGUAAAAAGUAAUUGGUUCCUUUAUUUUUCUGUCAGCUCAUCCUUCUACUCCAGAAGUACCACAGAAUUGCUUCUGAAAUGAACAAAACAAAAAACUGAAACAUGUGCCUGUUGCUGCUUUAGUCCCUGGGGCAAACACAUUUUGAAACAUGUUCUUCCACCUCAUGAAAUGUGUGGUCUCGACUUAGCCCAACCGGAGCAGGAUAAUAUAUAAGUGUCUAAUUUCCCGGAAUGUAAUGGAAACAGCUCAAUAAAAAGAGUAUCUGCAGCUAAAGAACA